RNAcentral lists this long non-coding RNA (221 nucleotides) under Lathyrus oleraceus (garden pea). RNAcentral describes it as "Pisum sativum (pea) long non-coding RNA (PSAT_LNC006427)". The record is from RNAcentral. Lineage: Eukaryota; Viridiplantae; Streptophyta; Magnoliopsida; Fabales; Fabaceae.
UUUGACCCUGGUAUUGAUCAGAGGGUUCCGUUUAUUUCGGAUCCCUGGGCUGAAUUCGAGGGUACUUGCUCAGAUGUUGAUUUGGGUUCAGAUGACUUUGGGUUUUAGAUGAUUUGUGGUUCCAAGUUCAAGCUGAAGCUUUGAUCCUGUGCCGCGAGAUGCUCAGCCGACCAGUCAUGGCUCCAUCAUUUGCAUCAUAGCAUGUUUAUUUUCAAAAAAAA